UACUGAUCUUCUUGUUUGGGUUGUCGGCCCUGACGGUGACAUCGAACUCCGGCGAGAUCGACGCUGUCGCGGCCGCCGAGGAGACAUUGAAGCCGGUGAUGGAGAUGUCCUCGACGGAGUAGCUGAGGGCCUUGGGCCGGAUAACGAGGUAGAAAAUACCAGCGGCGAUGGCGAGUAGGAAGAUGAGGAGCGCGGCGAGGCCGAGGAACCAGCAGAGGCAGCAGCAGCAGCCGCUCCGUCGAGGCUUCCGGCCACUGUACUUCUGGUAGCGGCGGGCGUUUUCGGGAGGCGGGUGGCGGAAGAUCUGGUCCUUGGGGAUCUGGAUGACAUAGGUCCCCGCGGGAGGGACGGGAUUUUCCGGCGUUGGAG
This 369-nucleotide long non-coding RNA is filed under the name Vitis vinifera (wine grape). RNAcentral's name for it is "long non-coding RNA (VVIN_LNC001865)". The record is from RNAcentral. Lineage: Eukaryota; Viridiplantae; Streptophyta; Magnoliopsida; Vitales; Vitaceae.